This 463-nucleotide ribosomal RNA is filed under the name uncultured bacterium. RNAcentral describes it as "bacterial SSU rRNA". It matches the Rfam family "Bacterial small subunit ribosomal RNA", at positions 27 to 507 of the family's 1533-position model. The record is from RNAcentral.
GGACGAACGCUGGCGGCGUGCUUAACACAUGCAAGUCGAGCGAUGAAGCACCUUCGGGUGUGAAUUAGCGGCGAACGGGUGAGGAACACGUGAGAAAUCUGCCUUCAACACUGGGAUAACUCCGGGAAACCGGGGCUAAUACCGGAUAUGAAACCUGCGGGCAUCCGCGGGUUUGGAAAGUUUUCGGUUGAAGAUGAUCUCGCGGCCUAUCAGCUUGUUGGUGAGGUAAUGGCUCACCAAGGCGACGACGGGUAGCCGGCCUGAGAGGGCGACCGGCCACACUGGGACUGAGACACGGCCCAGACUCCUACGGGAGGCAGCAGUGGGGAAUAUUGGGCAAUGGAGGAAACUCUGACCCAGCGACGCCGCGUGCGGGAUGAAGGCCUUCGGGUUGUAAACCGCUUUCAGCAGGGAAGAAGCGAAAGUGACGGUACCUGCAGAAGAAGCACCGGCUAACUAUGUG